UAGGGAAUCUUCCGCAAUGGGCGAAAGCCUGACGGAGCAACGCCGCGUGAGUGAUGAAGGUCUUCGGAUCGUAAAACUCUGUUAUUAGGGAAGAACAAAUGUGUAAGUAACUAUGCACGUCUUGACGGUACCUAAUCAGAAAGCCACGGCUAACUACGUGCCAGCAGCCGCGGUAAUACGUAGGUGGCAAGCGUUAUCCGGAAUUAUUGGGCGUAAAGCGCGCGUAGGCGGUUUUUUAAGUCUGAGGUGAAAGCCCACGGCUCAAACGUGGAGGGUCAUUUGAAACUGGAAAACUUGAGUGCAGAAGAGGAAAGUGGAAUUCCAUGUGUAGCGGUGAAAUGCGCAGAGAUAUGGAGGAACACCAGUGGCGAAGGCGACUUUCUGGUCUGUAACUGACGCUGAUGUGCGAAAGCGUGGGGAUCAAACAGG
This 429-nucleotide ribosomal RNA is filed under the name Actinomycetes bacterium. RNAcentral describes it as "Actinobacteria bacterium partial 16S ribosomal RNA". It matches the Rfam family "Bacterial small subunit ribosomal RNA", at positions 355 to 776 of the family's 1533-position model. Lineage: Bacteria; Bacillati; Actinomycetota; Actinomycetes. The record is from RNAcentral.